AACUGUGGUAGCAGUCUGGGUGUGACCUCUGUCAUCCCAGUGAUCACUAGGGUUACUUCCUCUGAUCUGAGUGACUUGGUGAGUGUCUCCUUCCCUCGCAGCUCUAAGUGCAUCCUUCCCAAAGUUCCCCACUCAGCAGAAGAGCACAUUUCUUUGGCCAAGGAGGCACAAGAAUUUGAGCUCCACUGCUAGACUUUCCAGACAAGCUCUCAAUAGGAACUUCAUUAAUGAAUCCUUAUAAGUCUCACCCAAAUAUGACACUUGAUUAUAUAUAUUUUU
Molecule: small nuclear RNA, 279 nt
Filed under: Heterocephalus glaber (naked mole-rat)
Lineage: Eukaryota; Metazoa; Chordata; Mammalia; Rodentia; Bathyergidae
Description: 7SK RNA
Rfam family: 7SK RNA
About the family: 7SK was discovered as an abundant small nuclear RNA in the mid-70s but a possible function has only recently been suggested. Two independent studies have found that 7SK RNA binds the CDK9/cyclin T complex (known as elongation factor P-TEFb).
Source: Rfam by way of RNAcentral